UUUUCACGUUACUUGAAGUCGUCUAGCAGUGCUUAACGCUUGUCGAUGAACAAUUUAUCCAAAGAAACGACAAGACGUUUGACCAGUGCACACAAACUCGCUGAAGACCUCCGGAACAUUCACGAGACGCCGUCGGAAGCAGAGACCAAAUACUAUACCAUCGUCAGCCGCUAGCAGCACCUAGCGUGUAGCGAAGUAAACAGAACCAUGGCGACGCAACAACCCUCAGAUCCCAACGCCGACCCUUUCACCUCCAUCUUCUCUCAAACUCACUCCCGUAUCCCAGAUGACACCGUUUUUUUCGCAAUCUUUCCAGACUCCUCUCUCUCCAAUUCCUUCUAUUCUUCUUCUUCUCCUUCCCUUGCUCUCCAAUCCCUUCACCUCGAAAUCCUUCACUUCCUCUCGCCGUACUCUUCCUUUUAUAUCUGGCAACACGAACCCUUCUCUCUCUCCAUCUCCUCUUUCUUAUCUCCUUCUUGCCUCUGCUCCUCCAAGUCUCCUCUCCCCCACCUCCAUGGCAAGCUUCGCUUUGGCGAUAACAUCGAGGACGAAUGGUUCACCGUCUUCCUGCUCUUCCUUAUUUCCCGCCAAUUCCCUUCCCUUUCCAUACGCGUAUGGGACAACGACGGCGAAUUCCUCCUUAUUGAAGCUGCUUUUCACCUCCCUCGAUGGAUUAAUCCCGAGAACAGUGGAAACCGCGUUUUUAUUCGCGGUGGCGAGCUCCAUAUUGUUCCCAAAAGCCGGUUGUCUAAUCCGAACUUAAUCGAUUCGUUGAAAUUUUUGACUUACUAUGAAAGCGAAUCGCGAGCGGCGGACUCUAUUCAAAAAGCGGUGAAGAGCCGAAUUUCGGAUUAUCCGGAAAGAGCGAGACGAAAUAU
This 878-nucleotide unclassified non-coding RNA is filed under the name Hevea brasiliensis (rubber tree). The record is from RNAcentral. Lineage: Eukaryota; Viridiplantae; Streptophyta; Magnoliopsida; Malpighiales; Euphorbiaceae.